AGCAGCCGCGGUAAUUCCAGCUCCAAUAGCGUAUAUUAAAGUUGUUGCAGUUAAAAAGCUCGUAGUUGAAUUUCGGGGUUAAUAAGUUGGUCGUACCUAUGGUAUGUACUGGCUUUAUUGAUUCCUACCUCUUGACGAACUGUGAUGCCAUUAAUUUGGUGUUGCAAGGAAUCAGGACUGUUACCUUGAAAAAUUGAGUGUUUAAAGCAGGCUUACGCUUGAAUACAUUAGCAUGGAAUAAUGAAAUAGGACGUUUGAACCUAUUUUGUGGUUUCUAGGAUCGACGUAAUGAUUAAUAGGGAUAGUUGGGGCAUUAGUAUUCAAUUGUCAGAGGUGAAAUUCUUGGAUUUAUUGAAGUACUAACUACUGCGAAAGCAUUUUGCCAAGGAUGUUUUCAUUAAUCAAGAACGAAGUUAGGGGAUCGAAGACGAUCAGAUACCGUCGUAGUCUUAACCAUAAACUAUAG
This 466-nucleotide ribosomal RNA is filed under the name uncultured Glomus. RNAcentral describes it as "SSU rRNA". It matches the Rfam family "Eukaryotic small subunit ribosomal RNA", at positions 569 to 1042 of the family's 1831-position model. Lineage: Eukaryota; Fungi; Glomeromycota; Glomeromycetes; Glomerales; Glomeraceae. The record is from RNAcentral.